GCGCGCCAUCGUCCGAGGCGGUCGCACAGUCCACGUGCCAUAACCGUAACCACAACCUGCCAGCCGUUCAAAAAAAAAACCCAAAACUCAAAUACGAACCGAAAACUGCCUUCACCAAGUACCUAACCUAAAAAAAAGCUGCCAAAAGAAACCAAAUACCAAAAAAAAAAAAUAUACAAAAAAAAAAAAAA
This 191-nucleotide small RNA is filed under the name Drosophila ananassae. RNAcentral describes it as "GF27400". The record is from RNAcentral. Lineage: Eukaryota; Metazoa; Arthropoda; Insecta; Diptera; Drosophilidae.